This 1159-nucleotide long non-coding RNA is filed under the name Cricetulus griseus (Chinese hamster). RNAcentral's name for it is "lncRNA (ENSCGRG00000024557.1)". Lineage: Eukaryota; Metazoa; Chordata; Mammalia; Rodentia; Cricetidae. The record is from RNAcentral.
UUGCCUCUGAUCUCAACCCCAGCUCCCACCCAGGCUCCCUAGCGCGUUCCUGGUCUGCCCCCUACGCUGGCCACCUCUGGUCCCACUCUGCCUCCUACACGGGAGCCCUGCUCUGGGCUGCGAUCUUGAGUCCUCAGAUGCCCCAACCCUCAUCCUUCAUGGCAGAUAGCUGGAGUUUCCAACUCUGUCCUGAGGACCCGAAGUGCGCUCCCUGGAUGAGUCUGGGCUGUGCCCCUGCGGAGCUUCAGUUUCUCCAGCUUGAAGCAGUGACUCUAAAGGUUUAUGAGCGCGAAUAAAGGGUCUCCACUCGUGACUGGAAUCCCCCAGAUGCCUUCUGAUGCUGUUAUGGAAUGAAGUAAGUGACAGCCCUUCCACACACCCACCGAGCUACCCACCUGCCCCUUAGCUACACGCCCACUUUGAACAGGUCCUGACAGAGACAAGACCAGUGCAGUUACCUUGGCUCUAAAGAGAAUGCAGUCGUUGGUUCUGACCCCAGGCCCACACCCUCGGUAUGAGCUCUGCCUCCACACCCCUCAGGGCAGUCCUGUGCAUUUACCCUUUCUCCCGUGUGUCUGCAUGAAUGCCCUGGAAGUCCCUAAGUGAUAGUCUGCAGGAGGUAGACACUGGAGAGGGCUCAUCCCUGACCCAGGAAGAGGGCAGGCUAGAGCAAGGACUAAACAUUGGCUUUGAAAAGGAGCAGUGUGCAGGUUGGUUAACCAGGGGCUUGGCUCAGGCCAGGAUUUUAGCCUCCUUGUAUGGAUAUUGAACAACACAUCAGAGCAGCUCAGAACUGCAGAAUCCGUGUUUGUGAAAUUUGCCUACUCACUGAAAUGUAUCUACAGCUCCAAGAUCAAUACUGGAAGUACAUUUGCAGCCCUUCACAGACAUGCACACAUCGAGAAAGUUGGAGUCACCAGUGGACAGGUGGAAAUUUUCUCCAUCUAUGGCUUUACUUCCAUUUUCAGAUGCAUUUAUGAUCGAAAUACAUGGAAUCUGCCUUGCCAGCAUGCCAAGCGUCCGACGACAUCAAAUACAGUGAUUCAAAAGCCCCGUCAAGAGUCCUACUAUGGGAGCCAGAAAGACGGCUUGGCGGGCAAGGGCACUUGUUGCUUUUGUAGAGAACCUACAUGGUGAUUCACACCAUCUCUAACUCCAA